This is a non-coding RNA of Salvelinus sp. IW2-2015, 174 nucleotides long. NCBI's taxonomy places the organism in Eukaryota, Metazoa, Chordata, Actinopteri, Salmoniformes, Salmonidae. The record is from RefSeq and is a predicted model, not a curated record.
GGACUGCAAACAGCUGUCAUCAUUUUAUCUCUGCUUCUGCUCCUGUCCGUUGUCUUCGUCGGUGUGCUCUACAAAAAGAGAGGAAACAAAUCAACACAUAUACCUAUUGGAGAUAUAGUGGACAUAGAGACUAUGAGACAAGCUGAAGAUUUCGUGGAUAUAGAGACUAUAGAG